UACGGGGGGGGCAAGCGUUGUUCGGAAUUACUGGGCGUAAAGGGCUCGUAGGCGGCCAACUAAGUCAGACGUGAAAUCCCUCGGCUUAACCGGGGAACUGCGUCUGAUACUGGAUGGCUUGAGGUUGGGAGAGGGAUGCGGAAUUCCAGGUGUAGCGGUGAAAUGCGUAGAUAUCUGGAGGAACACCGGUGGCGAAGGCGGCAUCCUGGACCAAUUCUGACGCUGAGGAGCGAAAGCCAGGGGAGCAACGGG
Molecule: ribosomal RNA, 252 nt
Filed under: uncultured bacterium
Lineage: Bacteria
Description: partial 16S ribosomal RNA
Rfam family: Bacterial small subunit ribosomal RNA
Source: RNAcentral